Molecule: non-coding RNA, 967 nt
Filed under: Myrmus lateralis
Lineage: Eukaryota; Metazoa; Arthropoda; Insecta; Hemiptera; Rhopalidae
Source: RNAcentral
AUGAACGAUGUAAAGCCUAACUAAUAGUAUACAUAUAAAUUAUUGUAGUAGACUAUGUAAAAGCUUAAUCUAUGUAACCUAUGAUUAUAUGUACUACACAUAUGUAAAUAAUUUAUGGGCUGGGGACCGGAGGGGUAGGAGGGAUAUAUUUUUUAUAUUGUUCCGUCAAAAAGACAAUAUUUUCAGUCAAUUAGAUUGAUUUUGUCUAGUUAAAUUGGCUAUAAUAAUAGUAUUAUAUGUAAAUUUUUGUGUGGUAAUUAAUUAAUCUUAAAGGUUAAAUUAAUUUUUUUAAAAUUGCAGUUGUUUAUAUUGUUUAUUUUAUCAUUAAAGAUGCAGCUAAUAAUUUAAGAAUUGUUAAAAUUUGUGCCAGCAAACGCGGUUAUACAAUUGAUUCAAGUUAAUUUUUUUGGUUUAUAUUUAUUAAAUGAUUUGAAAAUUAAAAUAAUAAUUUUAAAGUGAAAUUUUAAUUUUAUUUAUAUUUUUUUGGUUGAGAUUAUAUGAAAUUUAAAUUAAUAGACUAGGAUUAGAUACCCUAUUAUUUUAAAUGUAAAAUAAACCAUAAUAUUAAUAGUUAAGACCUUUAAACUAAAAGAAUUUGGCGGUAAUUUAGUCUUUUCAGAGGAACCUGUUCUAUAAUUGACAAUCCACGUUGGAUUUUACUUUAAUUUUUGCUUGUAUAUCUCUGUCAUUGAGUGUUUUAUUAGAAUAUUUUCUUAAAUCAUUAUUUAGAAAAAUGGUAGGUCAAGGUGCAGCUAUAUUAAAGGUUGAGAUGGGUUACAUUUAAUAUAAUUUAUUGGAUUAACAUACUUUGGAAUAAGUUUAUGAAAAAGGAUUUGAAAGUAAUUAAUAUUAAUUAAUAUUAAUGAUUUGGGCUCUAAAUUAUGUACAUAUCGCCCGUCGCUCUCAUUAUUAAAAUGGGAUAAGUCGUAACAAAGUAAUUUUACUGGAAAGUGAGAUUAUAAAUGAC